RNAcentral lists this ribosomal RNA (853 nucleotides) under marine bacterium enrichment culture clone G01-D1-S7. Its description in RNAcentral is "bacterial SSU rRNA". It matches the Rfam family "Bacterial small subunit ribosomal RNA", at positions 580 to 1426 of the family's 1533-position model. The record is from RNAcentral.
CGGGAAGGCAUCCCGUGAAAGCCCCCGGCUCAACCGGGGAAUUGCGGGGUGAACCAUCGGUCUUGAGGCAGGUAGGGGUCAGCGGAACCAUCGGUGGAGCGGUGAAAUGCGUAGAGAUCGAUGGGAACGCCAAUGGCGAAGGCAGCUGACUGGGCCUGUCCUGACGCUCAGGCACGAAAGCGUGGGGAGCAAACAGGAUUAGAUACCCUGGUAGUCCACGCCGUAAACGAUGUGCACUAGAUCGCAGAGGUUCUCAUGCCCUUGCGGUCGAAGGAAAACCGUUAAGUGCACCGCCUGGGGAGUACGGUCGCAAGGCUAAAACUCAAAGGAAUUGACGGGGGCUCACACAAGCGGUGGAGCAUGUUGCUUAAUUCGAGGCAACGCGAAGAACCUUACCUGGGUUUGACAUGCACGGAUUAACUCUGUGAAAGCAGAGCCACGCCUUCGGGUGGAACGUGCACAGGUGCUGCAUGGCUGUCGUCAGCUCGUGCUGUGAAGUGUCGGGUUAAGUCCCUUAACGAGCGCAACCCCUAUCGCUAGUUGCCAGCGCGUCAUGGCGGGGGCUCUAGCGAGACUGCCGGUGUCAAACCGGAGGAAGGUGGGGAUGACGUCAAGUCCUCAUGGCCCUUACGUCCAGGGAUGCAAACGUGCUACAAUGGCGUGGACAGAGCGACGCGAUACCGCGAGGUGGAGCAAAUCGCAAAAACCACGCCCCAGUUCGGAUUGCAGGCUGCAACUCGCCUGCAUGAAGCCGGAAUCGCUAGUAAUCGGAGAUCAGCUACGCUCCGGUGAAUACGUUCCUGAGCCUUGUACACACCGCCCGUCACGUCAUGGAAGCCGGGAGUGCCCGAAG